Molecule: ribosomal RNA, 433 nt
Filed under: uncultured bacterium
Lineage: Bacteria
Description: partial 16S ribosomal RNA
Rfam family: Bacterial small subunit ribosomal RNA
Source: RNAcentral
AACGGACGCUGGCGGCAUGCCUAACACAUGCAAGUCGAACGAGACCUUCGGGUCUAGUGGCGCACGGGUGCGUAACGCGUGGGAACCUGCCCUUAGGUUCGGAAUAACUCCCCGAAAGGGGUGCUAAUACCGGAUAAUGUCUUCGGACCAAAGAUUUAUCGCCUUUGGAUGGGCCCGCGUUGGAUUAGCUAGUUGGUAGGGUAAAAGCCUACCAAGGCGACGAUCCAUAGCUGGUCUGAGAGGAUGAUCAGCCACACUGGGACUGAGACACGGCCCAGACUCCUACGGGAGGCAGCAGUGGGGAAUAUUGGACAAUGGGCGAAAGCCUGAUCCAGCAAUGCCGCGUGAGUGAUGAAGGCCUUAGGGUUGUAAAGCUCUUUUACACGGGAUGAUAAUGACAGUACCGGGAGAAUAAGCUCCGGCUAACUCCGUG